AAUUUUGGACAAUGGGGGAAACCCUGAUCUAGCCAUCCCGCGUGUAUGAUGAAGGCCUUCGGUUUGUAAAGUACUUUUGGCAGAGAAGAAAAGGUAUCACCUAAUACGGGCUACUGUUGACUGUAUCUGCAGAAUAAGCACCGGCUAACUACGUGCCACCAGCAGCGGUAAUACGUAGGGUGCAAGCGUUAAUCGGAAUUACUGGUCGUAAAGCGUGUGUAGGCGGUGCGGAAAGAAAGAUGUGAAAUCCCAGGGCACAACCUUGGAACUGCAUUUUUAACUGCCGAGCUAGAGUAAGUCAGAGGGGGGUAGAAUUCCACGUGUAGCAGUGAAAUGCGUAGAUAUGUGGAGGAAUACCGAUGGCGAAGGCAGCCCCCUGGGAUAAUACCGACGCUCAGACACGAAAGCGUGGGGAGCAAACAGG
This 424-nucleotide ribosomal RNA is filed under the name uncultured bacterium. RNAcentral describes it as "partial 16S ribosomal RNA". It matches the Rfam family "Bacterial small subunit ribosomal RNA", at positions 360 to 776 of the family's 1533-position model. The record is from RNAcentral.